UAUCCGUAGGUGAACCUGCGGAUGGAUCAUUAAAAGUAUUACAUACUUACACUCUCGUGAACUCGUUUUAUAACCAAAAAAUAUGUAGUGUGUCAUGGCAGUGAGGAAACUUGCUCUCAUGCGCAACACGUAUUUUUUUUAUUACACUAUUUACCCUUUGUAUUAACUUGAAUCUAUUUGGCUAUGCGGGAAACUGCAUAACUAAAAAAUAUAAGAAAUUUUCGUGCAACUCUUAGCAACGGAUAUCUUGGCUUCUACAUCGAUGAAGAACGCAGC
RNAcentral lists this unclassified non-coding RNA (276 nucleotides) under plant metagenome. Its description in RNAcentral is "partial contains small subunit ribosomal RNA, internal transcribed spacer 1, and 5.8S ribosomal RNA". The stretch from base 228 to 276 matches the Rfam family "5.8S ribosomal RNA", at positions 1 to 49 of the family's 154-position model. The record is from RNAcentral.